AUUGAACGCUGGCGGCAUGCCUUACACAUGCAAGUCGAACGGCAGCGCGGACUUCGGUCUGGCGGCGAGUGGCGAACGGGUGAGUAAUACAUCGGAACGUACCCUGUUGUGGGGGAUAACUAGUCGAAAGAUUAGCUAAUACCGCAUACGACCUGAGGGUGAAAGUGGGGGACCGCAAGGCCUCACGCAGCAGGAGCGGCCGAUGUCUGAUUAGCUAGUUGGUGGGGUAAAGGCCCACCAAGGCGACGAUCAGUAGCUGGUCUGAGAGGACGAUCAGCCACACUGGGACUGAGACACGGCCCAGACUCCUACGGGAGGCAGCAGUGGGGAAUUUUGGACAAUGGGGGCAACCCUGAUCCAGCAAUGCCGCGUGUGUGAAGAAGGCCUUCGGGUUGUAAAGCACUUUUGUCCGGAAAGAAAUCGCGCUGGUUAAUACCUGGCGUGGAUGACGGUACCGGAAGAAUAAGCACCGGCUAACUAUGUG
This 484-nucleotide ribosomal RNA is filed under the name uncultured bacterium. Its description in RNAcentral is "partial 16S ribosomal RNA". It matches the Rfam family "Bacterial small subunit ribosomal RNA", at positions 30 to 507 of the family's 1533-position model. The record is from RNAcentral.